UUAUUUUAUUUUACAUGUAAAUUUUUGUGUGAAUUUAUUUAAUUUUUAAAAAAUUAUUUAGUUUAUUUAUUCCCAGUGAUAAUAUUAAUAUAAAAAAGAAAUUUUGUAUAAGUAAUAAUAUAUAGUAUUUGUAAAAUUUGUGCCCAGCAGUCGCGGUUAUACAAAUAAUACAAAUAAAAAUUUUUAGUAGUAGUUAAAUUGAUCAAAUUUUAAUAUAAAUAUAAAUUUAUUAGGUGAAAUUUUUAAAAUUUAUUUAUUAUUAAUUUUAAAAAUAAUUUAAACUAUAAACUUUUUAUAAUAAACUAGGAUUAGAUACCCUAUUAUUAAAAAUAAAAUAUGAGCAUACUAAAGUAGUAUUAGUUAUAUUCUUAAAAUUUAAAAAAUUUGGCGGUAUUUUAGUCUAUUCAGAGGAAUCUGUCCUGUAAUUGAUAGUCCACAUUGAACCUUACUUAAAUUUGUUUAAUUUGUAUAUCGCCGUCAUCAGAAUAUAUUAUAAGAUAAAAUUUUCUUAAUAUUUAAUAAAAUAAUAUGUCAGGUCAAGGUGCAGUUUAUGUUUAAGUAGAGAUGGAUUACAAUAAAUUUAUUUAAUAUGGAUUAUUUUUUGAAAUAAAAAUUUGAAAGUGGAUUUGAAAGUAAUAUAAAAUAGAUUAUUUAUAUGAUUUUAGCUCUAAAAUAUGCACAUAUCGCCCAUCGUUCUUAUUUUUAAAAUAAGAUAAGUUGUAACAUAGUAGAUGUACUGGAAAGUGUAUCUAGAAAGA
This 758-nucleotide non-coding RNA is filed under the name Culex tritaeniorhynchus. Lineage: Eukaryota; Metazoa; Arthropoda; Insecta; Diptera; Culicidae. The record is from RNAcentral.